RNAcentral lists this ribosomal RNA (490 nucleotides) under uncultured bacterium. RNAcentral describes it as "partial 16S ribosomal RNA". It matches the Rfam family "Bacterial small subunit ribosomal RNA", at positions 30 to 507 of the family's 1533-position model. The record is from RNAcentral.
AUUGAACGCUGGCGGCAGGCCUAACACAUGCAAGUCGAACGGUAACAGGAAGCAGCUUGCUGCUUUGCUGACGAGUGGCGGACGGGUGAGUCAUGUCUGGGAAACUGCCUGAUGGAGGGGGAUAACUACUGGAAACGGUAGCUAAUACCGCAUAACGUCGCAAGCCCAAAGAGGGGGACCUUAGGGCCUCUUGCCAUCGGAUGUGCCCAGAUGGGAUUGGCUAGUAGGUGGGGUAACGGCUCCCCUAGGCGACGAUCCCUAGCUGGUCUGAGAGGAUGACCAGCCACACUGGAACUGAGACACGGUCCAGGCUCCUACGGGAGGCAGCAGUGGGGAAUAUUGCACAAUGGGCGCAAGCCUGAUGCAGCCAUGCCGCGUGUAUGAAGAAGGCCUUCGGGUUGUAAAGUACUUUCAGCGGGGAGGAAGGGAGUAAAGUUAAUACCUUUGCUCAUUGACGUUACCCGCAGAAGAAGCACCGGCUAACUCCGUG